RNAcentral lists this ribosomal RNA (306 nucleotides) under uncultured bacterium. RNAcentral describes it as "bacterial SSU rRNA". It matches the Rfam family "Bacterial small subunit ribosomal RNA", at positions 167 to 507 of the family's 1533-position model. The record is from RNAcentral.
UACCGUAUACGUCCGUGAGGAGAAAGAUUUAUCGCCCUUAGACGGGCCCGCGUCGGAUUAGCUAGUUGGUGGGGUAACGGCCUACCAAGGCGACGAUCCGUAGCUGAUCUUAGAGGAUGAUCAGCCACACUGGGACUGAGACACGGCCCAGACUCCUACGGGAGGCAGCAGUGGGGAAUCUUGGACAAUGGGCGCAAGCCUGAUCCAGCCAUGCCGCGUGAGUGAAGAAGGUCUUCGGAUUGUAAAGCUCUUUUGCCAGGGACGAUAAUGACGGUACCUGGAGAAUAAGCCCCGGCAAACUUCGUG